Trachemys scripta elegans is the source of this 2729-nucleotide long non-coding RNA. RefSeq lists it as uncharacterized. The record is from RefSeq and is a predicted model, not a curated record. The transcript is spliced from 2 exons. NCBI's taxonomy places the organism in Eukaryota, Metazoa, Chordata, Testudines, Emydidae.
GACCCUGCUGCUGCCUCCAUCGUGAGCUGGGAACUGUGCCCAACCCAGGGGGGACCCUCUGCUGGACCCAGCCCCUAGGGCAGCCCCAGGCUCUGCCGACACCAGCUCCUGAGCCGGAGCCUGCAGUUUUGACCUUCAGAACAUAAUGAACACACAUCUACAACCCCGAGAUACCUUGAAAGCCACAGGAAUUCUAAAAUCUUGAGUUAUACACCCUGAAGUCAAGAAAUUUUAAUAAAUACAUGAUAUUUUGUUCUUGUGUGCCUCUUUGUUCCUGAGCCUUUAGGGUGUAGUAAGGCCAGUUCCACCAAAGCUGGAGCCUAAACACCUGAAUGAAUCUUAGUCCACCCUCAUACUUUUCCUGUUAUCUCUCCCAAACAUUUCAUAUGCCUAAGGCCAUAUCUACACUACAAGCGUAUGUUAACUCAAGUUAUGUCAGCAUAGGCUCGCUACAGUUACUAUGUCACUUGUGCACAUGCCUACUCACUUGUGGGCAUGCAGAGUCCCAAGCAUAGAAGUGGGGGACAUCAUGAUUCUAUGCAGAACAGAUUGCUGUGGGACAUAGCAACAACCAAUUCAAACUUGUUGGUGGCAUUCACAGGUUUGGGAUGAUGAGCAUUGGCUGCACAAGGCCAAAAUCCUUGCUCUGUGUGCCAAACUUGCCAAAAUGACAGUUGCACUGACAGUGGAGAAGCAAAUACAGAUUUCACUGUGGAAACUUUCGAGAGAUUGCUACCUCUUACUCAGAAGUAUCUCAACUGUAUUGUGGCACUCUGGACCUUAAAGCAGUACCCUCCCCCUUCCAUUCACCCCGUCAUAUGAUAUAUUUCAUACAAAGAAUGUCAUAUCACAUAUCAUGAAAGGUCAGGAUCUGCUGAAACCCAUUGUUCUGUCAUAUUAUUAGUGCCUAUCAAGUUAUGAAAUUUUCCUCUAUGGUUGUUACUGAAAUAUGUUGUAAGUUUGGGAGUUGCUCUCCAGUAACAACAGAAGAGGGAAUGUACAGCCAGGUGGGCACUGAGUGAUCAUCAACAGCCAUUACUUGUUGGGAGUUGUCAACAAGUUGUAAUGGGAGUUGUAAUCAGUGGAUUUCCAAUUCAAUGACAAACCAUACCAGGGGUAUUUCUGAACACUUUCACUCUGCAAAGCCCAUCAUCACCUUUCUGGGCAAGGAUUUUCCAGGCACAUGGACUCAAGCUAUAAAAUAAAAGCAACAUGCAUUCGCCUCAAAAUCUUCACCCGCCUAUGCUGGAAGCAACCUGAACGCUGGGAAAACAAAUGGUUCAGCUCAGGAUACUGAGAAGGAGAAGGCUCUGACAUUUUCAACCACUGCACUGAAGAAUCCAGGUGUGUACAGUAUGUGUUAUGCCUACAUCAUGCAGACAUAGGCCUUUUCCUCACUGCUAAAAAAAACUUAGAUUUUUUUAUCACCUUGCUGUAAGAAGGGUGAUUGAUCUGUUGUGAAGUGACAACACAAUGAAGACAAGACAACACAACUUUUAACAGUGUGGGAAAAGGCUCAAGAAAAUGUCUCAAAAAUUAAAUCGGAGAGCAAUAAUGACAUGUGAGCACCACGGUUUUGAGUGUAAAUUUUUUGUGGUGAUACCCUUGUUGCUUGAUAUAUGUAACAGUGACAAAAGUGGAAGUCUGUAUAAAGCACAAUGGUAGCUUUUCUACCUAUGAGCUUUCUUUCAAAAGGAAUUCAUAAGCAUUUCAAAUACUAUUUAUAAUGCUUUGCACUACUCCCAAUGUUUUGUGUGCAUUCAAUGUUUCUUUACUAAUAGACUGUAUGACCUACUAUACAGUGGAAAGGGACUAAUACAGAUUUCUUUUGAAAUGAUCAGACUUUCAUUAAGGGUUUUUCAUGCAAUAGCCAUGAAAUUCAACGUGUAAAAUGGUUUUUAAAUAGUCCUGAAAAGAUGUGGGCUUGGUCCUCUGUACUCCAAAAAUGUGUUUGGUAUCAAGUGUUAUCUAAUAGGUACUGUGAGGAUGUUGCCUAAGCAUCUUGUCAUAUAACUAAAGUGUCACUUAUGAUUUCUUGAGUAAUAAACAUCAUGAACAUAAGGCUGUGACACUCUGAUCCUCAAAGUAGUACCUGGAACCCCCAUAUUUAGUAUUGUCAUAGGAUUAAUAGAUGUUUUGUACAAAUGCAUGCUUUUACUUUUUAAAUGUUUUUCAUGCCUGUUAUCAUCACGAUACAUAAAUGUGUGUGUUAUAUGGGUUUAUUUACUUCAGAUUCUUCAGCAUUUCAGAAAACUGAUUUUUCAAAAAAAAAAAAAAAAAAAAACUUUAUUAGGAAAAGAACUCCCGGUAAUAAAAAUCAGUAUGGCAGAUAAGGCGGGUAAGAAGAGGGUUUCCAUGUAUAUGCUCUGUUGUUUUCUGAAUGUAUUAAACAGUGUCUGCAAACACCCCUGCUUGUGCUUUUUUAAAAUUCACAUUCUUGUGCUGUUAUAUUUCCUAUCCUGGGUUACUAUGAUUUCAUUUUGUUAAAAUGUUACAGGUGUUCUCAUUAUUUCAAAUGAAAUGUGAUUUCUAUAGAUCAAAUGCUGGCACACUUUGUAACAAAAAUACUUUGAACUUAUGCACAUAGCUCACAUGUAUUUAUGUAGCCCUUGUGAUUGGCCUAUGAAUGAUGCUGCAUUGUGGAGUUUGUUGAGUUUGGCUUUCCCUGCUUAUAUGUCUGCAAUUUUCAUGUCAUACCUACAAUAUAAACGCUGCUUAUUAUAUGCAUA